RNAcentral lists this ribosomal RNA (1204 nucleotides) under Staphylococcus hominis. RNAcentral describes it as "bacterial SSU rRNA". It matches the Rfam family "Bacterial small subunit ribosomal RNA", at positions 1 to 1209 of the family's 1533-position model. Lineage: Bacteria; Bacillati; Bacillota; Bacilli; Caryophanales; Staphylococcaceae. The record is from RNAcentral.
UAACUUAGUAGCCGUAGAGUUUGAUCCUGGCUCAGGAUAAGUCGUAACAAGGUAGCCGUAGAGUUUGAUCCUGGCUCAGGAUCACGCGGAACAACCUACCUAGUAGACUGGGAUAACUUCGGGAAACCGGAGCUAAUACCGGAUAAUAUUUCGAACCGCAUGGUUCGAUAGUGAAAGAUGGCUUUGCUAUCACUUAUAGAUGGACCUGCGCCGUAUUAGCUAGUUGGUAAGGUAACGGCUUACCAAGGCAACGAUACGUAGCCGACCUGAGAGGGUGAUCGGCCACACUGGAACUGAGACACGGUCCAGACUCCUACGGGAGGCAGCAGUAGGGAAUCUUCCGCAAUGGGCGAAAGCCUGACGGAGCAACGCCGCGUGAGUGAUGAAGGUCUUCGGAUCGUAAAACUCUGUUAUUAUGGAAGAACAAACGUGUAAGUAACUGUGCACGUCUUGACGGUACCUAAUCAGAAAGCCACGGCUAACUACGUGCCAGCAGCCGCGGUAAUACGUAGGUGGCAAGCGUUAUCCGGAAUUAUUGGGCGUACAGCGCGCGUAGGCGGUUUUUUAAGUCUGAUGUGAAAGCCCACGGCUCAACCGUGGAGGGUCAUUGGAAACUGGAAAACUUGAGUGCAGAAGAGGAAAGUGGAAUUCCAUGUGUAGCGGUGAAAUGCGCACAGAUAUGGAGGAACACCAGUGGCGAACGCGACUUUUCUGGUCUGUAACUGACGCUGAUGUGCGAAAGCGUGGGGAUCAAACACGAUUACAUACCCUGGUAGUCCACGCCGUAAACGAUGAGUGCUAAGUGUUAGGGGGUUUCCGCCCCUUACUGCUGCAGCUAACGCAUUAAGCACUCCGCCUGGGGAGUACGACCGGAGGGUUGAAACUCAAAAGGAUUGACGGCGACCCCGCACAAGCGGUGGGACCAUGUGUUUUAGUUCAAAGCUAGCGCGAAAACUUACCAAAUCUGGACGAUCCUUUGAAUCCUUCUAGGAGAUAGAAAUUACCUCCUUCGGGAGGACAAAGUGACAGAGGAUGCAUGGUUGUCGUUCGCUCCAUGUCGAGGAAUUGGUGGGCUUAGAUCCUGCAACGAGCCGCAGCCCUUAGCCUUACUUGCCAUCAUUACAGUGGGACCUAAGUUGACUGCCGGUGACAACGGAUGAGGCGUGAAUGACGUCCAGGAGACUGUCAGUACCCUCUUCAGUAU